This 256-nucleotide ribosomal RNA is filed under the name uncultured bacterium. Its description in RNAcentral is "partial 16S ribosomal RNA". It matches the Rfam family "Bacterial small subunit ribosomal RNA", at positions 524 to 776 of the family's 1533-position model. The record is from RNAcentral.
UACAGGGGGUGCAAACGUUUGCUCGGAAUCAUUGGGCGUAAAGCGCACGUAGGCGGCUUUGUAAGUUAGAGGUGAAAGCCCGGGGCUCAACUCCGGAAUUGCCUUUAAGACUGCAUCGCUAGAAUUGUGGAGAGGUAAGUGGAAUUCCGAGUGUAGAGGUGAAAUUCGUAGAUAUUCGGAAGAACACCAGUGGCGAAGGCGACUUACUGGACACAUAUUGACGCUGAGGUGGCGAAAAGCGUGGGGAGCAAACAGG